This 253-nucleotide ribosomal RNA is filed under the name uncultured bacterium. RNAcentral describes it as "partial 16S ribosomal RNA". It matches the Rfam family "Bacterial small subunit ribosomal RNA", at positions 524 to 776 of the family's 1533-position model. The record is from RNAcentral.
GACGUAGGGCGCGAGCGUUGUCCGGAUUUAUUGGGCGUAAAGAGCUCGUAGGCGGCUUGUCGCGUCGACCGUGAAAACUUGGGGCUCAACCCCAAGCCUGCGGUCGAUACGGGCAGGCUAGAGUUCGGUAGGGGAGACUGGAAUUCCUGGUGUAGCGGUGAAAUGCGCAGAUAUCAGGAGGAACACCGGUGGCGAAGGCAGCUCGCUGGGACGUUACUGACGCUGAGACGCGAAAGCGUGGGGAGCAAACAGG